CAGGUCACUCCUACGGGAGGCAGCAGUGGGGAAUUUUGGACAAUGGGGGCAACCCUGAUCCAGCCAUGCCGCGUGUGUGAAGAAGGCCUUCGGGUUGUAAAGCUCUUUUGUCCGGAACGAAACGGUUGCAGUGAACAGCCGCGACUACUGACGGUACCGAGAGAAGAAGCCCCGGCUAACUCCGUGCCAGCAGCCGCGGUAAUACGGGGGGGGCAAGCGUUGUUCGGAAUUACUGGGCGUAAAGGGCUCGUAGGCGGCCAACUAAGUCAGACGUGAAAUCCCUCGGCUUAACCUGGGAACUGCUUCCGAGACUGCACGACUAGAGAUCGGUAGAGGGCGGUGGAAUUUCCGGUGUAGCGGUGAAAUGCGUAGAGAUGUGGAGGAACACCUGUGGCGAAGGCGGCCCCCUGGUUGGAUACUGACGCUGAGACGCGAAAGCGUGGGGAGCAAACAGGAUUAGAUACCCUGGUAGUCCACGCUGUAAACGAUGGGCACUAGGUGUCCGGGGUAUUGACCCCCUGGGUGCCGCAGCUAACGCAUUAAGUGCCCCGCCUGGGGAGUACGGUCGCAAGAUUAAAACUUAAAGGAAUUGACG
Molecule: ribosomal RNA, 595 nt
Filed under: uncultured beta proteobacterium
Lineage: Bacteria; Pseudomonadati; Pseudomonadota; Betaproteobacteria
Description: bacterial SSU rRNA
Rfam family: Bacterial small subunit ribosomal RNA
Source: RNAcentral